This 457-nucleotide ribosomal RNA is filed under the name uncultured Methylophilaceae bacterium. RNAcentral describes it as "bacterial SSU rRNA". It matches the Rfam family "Bacterial small subunit ribosomal RNA", at positions 346 to 795 of the family's 1533-position model. Lineage: Bacteria; Pseudomonadati; Pseudomonadota; Betaproteobacteria; Nitrosomonadales; Methylophilaceae. The record is from RNAcentral.
GGGCUGCAGUGGGGAAUUUUGGACAAUGGGCGCAAGCCUGAUCCAGCCAUUCCGCGUGAGUGAAGAAGGCCUUCGGGUUGUAAAGCUCUUUCGCAAGGGAAGAAAACUUAUCCUCUAACAUAGGAUGAGGUUGACGGUACCUUGAUAAGAAGCACCGGCUAACUACGUGCCAGCAGCCGCGGUAAUACGUAGGGUGCGAGCGUUAAUCGGAAUUACUGGGCGUAAAGCGUGCGCAGGCUGUUUUGUAAGUCAGAUGUGAAAUCCCCGAGCUCAACUUGGGAACUGCGUUUGAAACUACAAGACUAGAAUAGGUCAGAGGGGGGUAGAAUUCCACGUGUAGCAGUGAAAUGCGUAGAGAUGUGGAGGAAUAUCAAUGGCGAAGGCAGCCCCCUGGGAUCAUAUUGACGCUCAUGCACGAAAGCGUGGGGAGCAAACAGGAUUAGAUACCCCUGUAGUC